ACUUUGAUGACCGAAAAGCACAGGUGAUAAAUUUUUAAUUUAUUUAUGGGUUAGAGACCCUCAAGGUA
Molecule: transfer RNA, 68 nt
Filed under: Ascobulla fragilis
Lineage: Eukaryota; Metazoa; Mollusca; Gastropoda; Volvatellidae
Description: tRNA-Lys
Source: RNAcentral